This 492-nucleotide ribosomal RNA is filed under the name uncultured bacterium. RNAcentral's name for it is "partial 16S ribosomal RNA". It matches the Rfam family "Bacterial small subunit ribosomal RNA", at positions 29 to 507 of the family's 1533-position model. The record is from RNAcentral.
AGUGAACGCUGGCGGUAGGCCUAACACAUGCAAGUCGAACGGCAGCACAGUAAGAGCUUGCUCUUACGGGUGGCGAGUGGCGGACGGGUGAGGAAUACAUCGCAAUCUACUUUUUCGUGGGGGAUAACGUAGGGAAACUUACGCUAAUACCGCAUACGACCUACGGGUGAAAGCAGGGGAUCUUCGGACCUUGCGCGAUUGAAUGAGCCGAUGUCGGAUUAGCUAGUUGGCGGGGUAAAGGCCCGCCAAGGCGACGAUCCGUAGCUGGUCUGAGAGGAUGAUCAGCCACACUGGAACUGAGACACGGUUCAGACUCCUACGGGAGGCAGCAGUGGGGAAUAUUGGACAAUGGGCGCAAGCCUGAUCCAGCCAUACCGCGUGGGUGAAGAAGGCCUUCGGGUUGUAAAGCCCUUUUGUUGGGAAAGAAAAGCAGCAGGUUAAUACCCCGCUGUUCUGACGGUACCCAAAGAAUAAGCACCGGCUAACUUCGUG